AAACCAUGGUGGAGACAUUUUAAUAAUAAAUCUUUAAAUCUUUCCCAACAUUCAUAAAAUUCUUCAUUAUCUUUUUGAUAAAAUUUGGAGAUUUCUCUUCUUUAAUUAU
Molecule: small nucleolar RNA, 109 nt
Organism: Cannabis sativa
Lineage: Eukaryota; Viridiplantae; Streptophyta; Magnoliopsida; Rosales; Cannabaceae
Source: RefSeq, a predicted model, not a curated record